Molecule: ribosomal RNA, 253 nt
Filed under: uncultured bacterium
Lineage: Bacteria
Description: partial 16S ribosomal RNA
Rfam family: Bacterial small subunit ribosomal RNA
Source: RNAcentral
UACGUAGGUGGCGAGCGUUGUCCGGAUUUACUGGGCGUAAAGAGCGCGCAGGCGGUCGUACAAGUCGCGUGUGAAAGCCCCCGGCUCAACUGGGGAGGGUCACGCGAUACUGUUCGACUCGAAGGCAGGAGAGGGUAGUGGAAUUCCCGGUGUAGUGGUGAAAUGCGUAGAUAUCGGGAGGAACACCAGUGGCGAAGGCGACUACCUGGCCUGUCCUUGACGCUGAGGCGCGAAAGCUAGGGUAGCAAACGGG